UAAGGAAUAUUGGUCAAUGGACGCAAGUCUGAACCAGCCAUGCCGCGUGAAGGAUUAAGGCCCUCUGGGUUGUAAACUUCUUUUAUAGGGGAAGAAAUGUGACGGUUCUCCGUCACUUGACGGUACCCUGGGAAUAAGCACCGGCUAACUCCGUGCCAGCAGCCGCGGUAAUACGGAGGGUGCAAGCGUUAUCCGGAUUCACUGGGUUUAAAGGGUGCGUAGGUGGGUAUGUAAGUCAGUGGUGAAAUCCCCGAGCUUAACUUGGGAACUGCCAUUGAUACUAUAUAUCUUGAAUACCGUAGAGGUAAGCGGAAUAUGUCAUGUAGCGGUGAAAUGCUUAGAUAUGACAUGGAACACCAAUUGCGAAGGCAGCUUACUAUGCGGUGAUUGACACUGAGGCACGAAAGCGUGGGUAGCAAACA
RNAcentral lists this ribosomal RNA (422 nucleotides) under uncultured bacterium. RNAcentral describes it as "bacterial SSU rRNA". It matches the Rfam family "Bacterial small subunit ribosomal RNA", at positions 355 to 774 of the family's 1533-position model. The record is from RNAcentral.